Molecule: ribosomal RNA, 1000 nt
Filed under: uncultured organism
Description: bacterial SSU rRNA
Rfam family: Bacterial small subunit ribosomal RNA
Source: RNAcentral
UGGGGGAUAUUGCGCAAUGGGGGCAACCCUGACGCAGCAACGCCGCGUGAAGGAUGAAGGUUUUCGGAUUGUAAACUUCUUUUAUUAAGGACGAAAAAUGACGGUACUUAAUGAAUAAGCUCCGGCUAACUACGUGCCAGCAGCCGCGGUAAUACGUAGGGAGCAAGCGUUGUCCGGAUUUACUGGGUGUAAAGGGUGCGUAGGCGGCUUUGCAAGUCAGAUGUGAAAUCUAUGGGCUCAACCCAUAAACUGCAUUUGAAACUGUAGAGCUUGAGUGAAGUAGAGGCAGGCGGAAUUCCCCGUGUAGCGGUGAAAUGCGUAGAGAUGGGGAGGAACACCAGUGGCGAAGGCGGCCUGCUGGGCUUUAACUGACGCUGAGGCACGAAAGCGUGGGUAGCAAACAGGAUUAGAUACCCUGGUAGUCCACGCUGUAAACGAUGAUUACUAGGUGUGGGGGGUCUGACCCCUUCCGUGCCGGAGUUAACACAAUAAGUAAUCCACCUGGGGAGUACGGCCGCAAGGUUGAAACUCAAAGGAAUUGACGGGGGCCCGCACAAGCAGUGGAGUAUGUGGUUUAAUUCGAAGCAACGCGAAGAACCUUACCAGGUCUUGACAUCCAACUAACGAAGUAGAGAUACAUUAGGUGCCCUUCGGGGAAAGUUGAGACAGGUGGUGCAUGGUUGUCGUCAGCUCGUGUCGUGAGAUGUUGGGUUAAGUCCCGCAACGAGCGCAACCCUUGCUAUUAGUUGCUACGCAAGAGCACUCUAAUAGGACUGCCGUUGACAAAACGGAGGAAGGUGGGGACGACGUCAAAUCAUCAUGCUCCUUAUGACCUGGGCUACACACGUACUACAAUGGAUGUUAACAGAGGGAAGCAAGACAGCGAUGUGGAGCAAACCCCUAAAAACAUUCUCAGUUCAGAUUGCAGGCUGCAACCCGCCUGCAUGAAGAUGGAAUUGCUAGUAAUCGCGGAUCAGCAUGCCGCGGUGAAUACGUUCCC